GUAAAGAUGUUUAAUUCUGCCGUUAGAAAAGUGGGAAGAAGUAAAUAUACCAAAUUGACAUUUCGUUUUUAUUCAAAUGGACAAGUCAGAAGUACCAUAGACAUUGUAAUUAUGCAAUUAAAUGGCCUUGCCAAAAAUAACCAUUUGCUACAGAAAAGUUCAUAUGCGACAGCCUAAAGAACAUUAAGGUCAAAAUUUACCAGAACCAGUCUUGCCCCUUCUUACCUACUAUUAUUCUGCUCUCAAUUUCUUCAUCAGAAAACUGAAUUUUGCAUCUGCAUCACAUAUUUUCUUUCCUCUACAGGUCCUCUCUCAGAUGCGUGGGCCUCGGUGAACCUCGACCACCCGGCGACAUUUGGGACACUGGCCAUGGACCUAGAGCUCAAGAAGACAAUCAUGGACGAUCUCGAGAGGUUCGUGAGGAGGAAAGAGUACUAUAGGAGAGUAGGCAAGGCGUGGAAGAGAGGGUACUUAUUGUAUGGACCCCCCGGCACAGGGAAAUCAAGCCUGAUUGCGGCGAUGGCCAAUUACUUGAACUUCGACAUAUACGAUCUAGAGCUGAGCGGGCUCCGGAGCAAUGCGGAGCUCAGGAGACUGCUUGUUGCCACCGCGAAUCACUCCAUAUUGGUGGUCGAGGACAUCGAUUGCACCAUUGAGUUGCAAGAGAGGAAAUCCGAAACCCGAGCCGCGCGCAUGAAUAUGAUGUCCACUGACUAUCCACGAGAAGAUGUACAGUUUUUUUUUUUCUUUUUGGCUUUCAUUUUUGGUACAAGGUUAACUCCAGUUGCAUGCUAUGCAUGUGAUUUGUUCUUGACAUUUAACUUGUCUGUUGCUACGAUAUUAAUUUUUGUAUCAUGGAACAGCUGACGCUGUCUGGAUUCCUCAACUUCAUUGAUGGGCUUUGGUCGAGCUGUGGUGAUGAGCGGAUCAUAAUCUUCACUACCAACCACAAGGAGAAACUAGACUCAGCCCUAUUGCGCCCAGGGCGCAUGGAUGUGCACGUUCACAUGUCCUAUUGCACCCCCUGUGGAUUCAAGCUUCUUGCUUCUAAUUAUCUCGGGAUUGAUCACCACGAGCUCUUUGAUCAAAUCGAGAGUUCGAUCACGGCAGCAAGAGUCACUCCAGCCGAAGUAGCAGAGCAGUUGAUGAAGAGCGAUGAACCAGAGGUCGCUCUCAAGGACUUGGUUUCCUUCCUCGCUGAUCACAAGAGGAAAGAAACUGAAGAAGUCAUAAAGGAGAAAGUUUGCCAGUGCCAGUUGGUUGAAGAAAAUGGAGGAACUGAAGAGGAAAGUGAUAAGUGCGAAAUAAUUGAAGAAUAACCAAUACAUAUCGACUAUGUUGAUAUGUUUUGAUCGAUUUUAAUUUAGAUUAUCAUAAAGAAAGUGAUCAUUGAAUAUAAAGUAAUUGUAUGAAGUCACUGCAUGGUCAUCCAAAUGAUUAAUUAUGUGAGUCAAAUGGUAAAAUUAGAUGGUCAAUGGUUUAGACGAACUCGAUUUACAUGGCUUGUCAACCAUGCGAUCUUUUCAUGAUCGAAUAUUCAAAUCAUGCUAAUAUUAUAAUUUGCUUUAUAUAGUUAUAUCACGUCAAGGACACAUAAUGUGGCAUACUAGUUUUCUCAUGGUUUGGACCUUCCACGGAAUCUCGAAUAUGCUUGGGUUGGCUGAAAGCAUUAUUUGUCUGAGCUUGGAUUCUAAUGCAAUUGGACUCAACCUAAUUCUCGAUGGGUUCCUAGUCAUCCGUUGCAAGAGUCAUCUCAUGGGUACAUGCUUCUUUUCCUAGGAACAUGACAAGUUUCGCAAAAGCAGAACGAGCUAGGAAAGGUUCCCUACUAGCAUCGGUCGUAUUCGCAUCGUGCAGUGGGAUUUAAGGAGAGAGCUUUAAGUAGAUCAUCCUAAAACGGAGCUAACUUACUUCGAGAUGCGACCAUUGAAUAAGAUAAAUGCACGGGAUCGGUCGAUCUGAUUUGAAUAUUUGCCGCCACUCCGCAAAAGGAAAAGGCCAAGACCGGCGCCCCGUCGGGGCAAGAACGAAAGCCUACCAAGGCUUGGACUAGGAACACUCCAGGCCUCUGAACCAGCUCAGUCAACAAGGAAUCCAUGCAUUUGUAGAGAGUUCAUUGUUGAUCUCCCAUUCACAUCCCAAAAAAUUCUACAAUAACGGGUCGAUCUCCAAUUCUCUUAUUCAUCGCCACUUUCAUCUCCUGAUUUCCUCCGGUCAUAUACCGUCUGUCCCCCAUAGAUUGAACUGAAAAGAGCGGCGACCCCUGCUCCGAACGACUCCAACAUCGCGGUGGCCAAGGCUGUGCUGUCUGCCGCGGCCUCCGUGAUGGUGGUGCAGUCGGUGGUUCGACCUUCGUCCCUCCCGAGUUCCAGGGCUUCCUCUUCUCUAAGAUCCAUGGCUUCUUGUCUCGCUUCUGCAACGAAAUGACCAUGGUCAUCGAACAGUACGAUGGGUACGGACAAAACGACCUCUUCGGGACGGCCCAGAUUCUCCUGGCCACCAAGCAAUCCCUUUCGAUGCAGCGCGUGCGACUGACCAAGUCCCCGAAGGAGAACCACUUCACUCUGGCUAUGGACCGGAAUCAAAUGCUGGUGGAUACGUUUCACGGGGUCAAACUCAAGUGGAUUUUCGUGUCGAGACAGGUCGACUUGGGCCACCAAGUCCAUCAAGGCUCCACGGUUCAGCACGAAGUUCAGUACUUCGAGCUUAGAUUUCACAAGAAACACAGGGAGAUCGUGGUCAAAUCCUAUGUGUCUUUCCUCAUCGACAAGGCCAAGUCCAUAAAGCAGGGGAAGAAGACGCUGAAGCUAUGCACUCCGGGCUCCGACGGCAAUUAUCUUUAACUAUGUUCAAUUCUACUAUUAGAAUUUAGGAGUGAAAAGCUGUGAUGCUAAAUUCACAAAAACUUCGUUCAAUCGGACUAAGUCGGAAGUAUCAUAUAAAGUCCGGCCAAAAAUAAGUACUAGCUACAUAAAAGUUAAUCAGUAAAAUCCUAAAGCACAUUAAGAUCAAAAUUCACUCGAACCAGCUCGCACCUUCUUAUCUAUGAUUAUGCGCUCAAUUUCUUCAGCAGGAGACCGAAUUUUGUAUCUCCAUCACAAUUUGUUUCCUCUAAAGGUCCGGGCCCGGGCGCGUGGUCCUCGGUGAACCUCGACCACCCAGCAACAUUCCAGACAUUGGCCAUGGACCUAGAGCUCAAGAAGAAGAUCCUUGACGAUCUCGAUAGGUUCGUGAGGAGGAAGGAGUACUACAGGAGAGUUGGCAAGGCGUAGAAAAGAGGAUACUUAUUGUACGGACCCCCUGGAAUGCGGAAAUCGAGCUUGGUCGCCGCGAUGGCCAAUUACUUAAACUUCGACAUAUACGACCUAGAACUGAGUGAGCUCUGGGGCAAUGCGGACCUCAGGAGAUUGCUCGUCGCCACUGCGAAUCAAUCCAUAUUGGUGGUCGAGGACAACGAUUGCACCAUUCAGUUGCAAGAUAGGAAUUCAGAAACACGCGCCGCCAGCAUAAAUUCGAUGUUAAUCGGUUAUCAGCGAAAAUAUUAAGUACAAUUUCUUCUUUUAUGCUUUCUUUUUAAGUAUGAGGUGUAGUUCAAUUGCUGCAUACUAUGAAUACGAUUUGUACUUGACGUUUAACUCAUGUUUGUACCUACGACAAUAGAUUUUUUUACUGAUGGAAUAUGUGAUGUUGUCUGGAUUUCUCAACUUCAUCGAUGAGCUUUGGUCAAGCUAUGGCAAUAGGCGAAUCAUAGUCUUCACGACAAACCACAUUGAGAAACUAGACCCAACUCUAUUGCACCCGGGGCGCAUGGAUUUGCAUGUUCCCAUUUCCUAUUGCACUCCUUGCGGGUUCAAGCUUCUUGCUUCUAAUUAUCUCGAGAUCGAUCAUCACAAGCUCUUUGACCAGAUCAAGAGCGCAAUCGUGACGGCUAGAGUCACUCUGGUUGAAGUAGCGAAGCAAUUGAUGAAAUGCCACAAAUUGAAGGUUGCUCUCAGGGACAUGAUUUCCUUCCUCACUAAUCACAAGAGGAAAGAAAAUGAAGAAGUCAUCAAGGAGAAAGUUCACCGGUCUCAAUUGAUUGUAGAAAUUGAAGGGAGCGAAGAAGAAAGCAGCAAGGACGAGCCGAUAGAAAAAUAAAUAAUACAUAUUGACUGUAAUGAUAUGUUUCCAUUGAUUUUAUUCAAAUUAUUAAAAAGUUCUUUGUUUUCAACAUGAUGAUAUAUGACAACUAGACUCGUCAUGUUGACGAGUUAGGUCGGUUCGAAUCGGAUCGAAAAAAGUCGGACCCUAAAAUGCAAAUUUGGCAACCCAUGUUCAAUAUGAGUCGAGAUCUACUUUAGCAAUUUUUUUCCCUUAAAUCGUGGUCUUUAAAGAAUAGGUGUCUUCAUGGACCGACUCGUUAAGUUAGUGAGGGAGCUCGGAGUUCAGUUAUAGAUGAUAGUGUUAAAAUGGUGGUGAAAGUCUGGCCUAGGCCAUCCAUAAAUCAUGAAACAGGUUUGGCUUUUGAAGUCAUUUCUAGUAAUUUGUAAAAUUUUAAAUGACCAUACGCAACUAGGCCCAUAGAAAGUGAAUUGAAGAAGGGGUUCACAUCCUUAUAUCUUGCUCUAAUGCAACUCGUCUUUAUGGGCAUAUUAAACUCCUGAACCCAGUAGCUGAUUAGUAAGAUUUUCUCCAAGUCACGAAGAAGGAAUUAUUGGACUUGAGUAGGUCCUUAAAAGUCUCAAGGACAAAGAAACAAGUGGGAAAUUCAUUUUGUAGUAGGAGACUCUACAAUGUCACCUUCAUACUCUCACUCAUUCUAAAAGAAAAGCCUGACUGGGAAUCAAGGGACCUAUCGGUGGUGGAGAUAGACACCACGUUCGUAUAUCUCAGUUCCGUUGAGUAGGAGAGUAUAAUAGCUCCUUAAACCUGAGGUGAGGUAGGGUGGCUUCAAAAGCACUGCUCAAGCCUAUCGACUGGCUGCUCACCUUGUACCCUUCGUUAAUAGGUGAGCACACGCCACAACAGCCGAUGAUUGGCUAUAACUUUUCUCUUCCUCACGCUCACGACAAGUGUAAGCUAAUACCGAAUAAACCCUUUACAAACUAGCUGUGAUUUAACUGGCCGAACCAAUUAUUCAAGUCACCAUCGCUGAAGAUUCCUGUACAACUAAUGGGAAAAUCAGAAGGGGGAAUUCAGAUGGACAUUUCAUCGAGCAUGUGCGCGACAACAUGCAUAUUUCCAAUGGAAGAACCCAUUGCUCAUUCGGUAAAGUAAUUUGGUCGCAAUGAUAGAAGAACAAGCAGCAAAAAUAAACUUUCCGAAUUGAACUAACCACUUGAGCAACUUUUAGAAGAAACACAUAGAAGGGCCAUAUGAAUGCUUUACACAAAACAUAAUUUUAAUGUAAAUUGUGAGUUGGAGUAUGAAUAUGACCCAAAUAGAAACAUUGAAAUAAAUAUGGCAAAAAUGGUUUUCGACAAGCCUCGAUCUUUAAACCCUGCCAAAAUAAAAGAAAAAAUAAUGACUAGUGCUUAACGCACUUGAGUUAAAUCGUCCAACAUUAAUAAAUUGAACGAAAUUUUUGACUACCUUUUGAAAGAUGGCCUAACGAAAUUAACCGAAAACCGUGUAAUUCCAAAUAAAGAAGAUUUAGUAAAAACAAAAAUAUUGCAAGUGACACCAUACCAUAACACUAUUGAUUAACACUAUUGAUUUUGUUAUUUUCAAUAGUUCAAUUAAGUAGGGAAAAAUCAAAUUUGAUGAAUAAUUGAUGACCGUUGAUUAUUUAAUUUGAAAAAUCGAAUGGUUGAUGAAUCAUUCAAUUCUUUAUAAAUGUUGACAUCAAAAAAUGACCAAACUUUUAAUUAUUAUUGACAAAUGAUAAACUCAGUUGAUGGAGACACUAUAUCAAAACGAUCGACAAACUUGAAGAAUAAAAAACACGCUAGUGAACUUUUUGACCACACACAACAUGAAAGUUAUCGAUAGGAGCUCUCAUCUAGACUUGAGAAAUGGAUGGACAAAGUCAUAAGCAAUGAGCAAUCAACAUAAAUAUAACUAUUGGGUAAUUAUAUCUAUUGCCACUAACUUAGGAUUUUUGUUUCUUGCAUAUAAGCAUUGCCGAAUAAAUUCUUAUAAAUAAGUGUUGCAUGGAGUAAAUUCUCAUAAUCGCUAAUAGGAUUUCUAUGAAUUGAAAAGGUAUUGUUCUAUAUUGUCAACAAUGAGCUAUAAAUACCCACAUUAUACUCUUGUAAGGGAUCUCCGUCAAUCAACGAACUCAAGUUUUUUUUUUGCAAAUAAAUCUUUAUCUUACAUAAUCGGUAGAAAUUGCCAACAAUUUCCAUAACUCUAGAUACUGUCAUUUUACUUUUCUAACCAAAAUCAACUAAAGACCUUUCACAAUAUUUGUCGAUUCACUUAGUGAUACCUUUCAAUGAGCCGGAUUCUAAUUAAGAAGGGGUAAGGACAUAUGAGGUCAUCACUUGGGUAAUCGGAUGAGAUUUAUGUCUGAUGUAAUCAUUUAGGCUGCGUUUGGUCGUUCAUAUUUCUAUUAGGAUAUGAAUGGAUUGGAUAAGAUAUGAAAUCCUAAGAUAUUUUUAUAUCCAGUCCAUUGUUUGGUAAAUCGUAGUAUUAAAGUUGGAUAUAUUCACAUCAUAUCAUGUACAUUUUAUUUAUUUAUUUAUGUAAAUGGCAUAUCAUUAUAAAUGAAUCUAAAUGUUCAUAAACAAAGAUGGUGAAAAUCUCUUGUAACAUUAUUCUUUAAUUUAUUUUUAAUUUAUUUUUCCUCUUUUUUAAUUUAUUUUCUUUAUUAUUUCUUUUUUUCCCUUUCAUCAUUAUUUAAUAAAUUUGAUCAAAUAGUAAACUAUACUAACAUACCUAAAAUACAAAAAUACCUAAAAUAUAUAAUAAAUUUAGAUAUUUAAUUUAUAGAUUGAAUGUUUAUUAUAAGAUAGAAUUAAAGUUGAAUACAUAAAUUUAAAUAAGAUUAAUUUAAAAUAAAUUUCUAUUUUUUUCAUUUUUAAUUUCUUAAAUUAGAAUUCAAAUUAUUAUUUAUAUUGAAAUAUAAUUUUAAUUUUGUUAAUUUAAUAGGUUUGUUAUUCGAGAAAAAUUUCUUUUCUAUUAUGGAUAUUAUAAAUUAUAUCCACAUUUAUCACACCUCUUCCAUGAAAUAAUUUUAUCAUGCCUAUAUCCCCCUUAUAUCCGACUUUAUCCUAUUCUGAGUGAGCACCGAAUAUAGGAUAGGAUAAAUCAUAUCCUAUUCCAAAUUUUAUCUUGACUGUCAAACGUAGUCUUAUGGAUUGCCCCUAUGACACAACUGGCUUUUGCAAAAGCAGAGAAAAGUGUCCAACUAACGCCGGUCCUAUUCGCAUCGGUGCAGCGCGAGUCAUGGGGGAAUCGAUAAAUAAAAAUAUUCAAGAUGUACGUGAUUGACAAAAUCGAUACCGCGUUUGGAACCCCAUAACUUUUCUUGUCAAUUAAACUCAACUUUAAUUGCUCUAGCCAAUCAGUAAACAAGUUUAUAUACUGCCGAAUUAAACUAAAAUUGAAUCGGAAUGUGCCGUGGACAAGUGGCCUUUGCCUUAUCAUCUGGUCUCCCCUUCACCCUCUAGAACUGCACAGCAAGAUAUCGAUCUCCCGUUCUCAUAUUCAUCGCCAAUUUCAUCUCUCGAUUCCCUCCGGUCGAGUGCCGUCUAUACCGGAGAGAUUGGACUGGAAAAAGAACGGCGACCCCAGCUCCAGACUACUUCAGUAGCCCUGUUGCGGUGGCCAAGGCAGCACCAUCUGCUGUGGCGUCCGUCACGGCCACUGCGAUGGUGCGGAUUUACAAUAUCAAAUUCGUAAGAAGAAUCAAAUUUUUGUUUUGACAAUUCAAUUAUAUUAUGUAUGAUGGUGCAGUCGGUGGUUCAACCAUUCCUCCCCCGCGAACUCAGGGCUUCCUCUUCUCCGGGAUCCGCAGCUUGCUCUCUUGCUUCUCCAACAAAAUGACGAUCGUCAUCGACGAGUAUGAUGUGAUUAACCCAAACGAGCUCUUCCAGGCAGCCCGGGUGUUCUUGCCUGCCAAGCAAUUCCUUUCGAUGAGGUGAGUCCCAAUGACCAAGCCCGCGAAGGAGGACGGCUUAACUCUGGCUAUGGACCGAAAUCAAAUGCCGGUGGAUACGUUUUGUGGGAUCAAACUCAAGUGGGUUUUUGCGUUGAGACGGGCAACCGAGGCCUGAACUCGCCGCCGCCGCAGGAAGUUCAGUAGCUCACUUUUCACAAGAAACAUGAGGAGGUCGUCCGCAAGUCCUACCUGCCUUUCCUCGUCAGUGAGGCCAAGUCCAUAAGGCAGGAGAACAAGGCAUUGAAGCUAUACACUGCGAUCUUCGACCGCGGCUAUGGCAGUAAUUAUGGUCGAACAUUAAGUUGGAAUCAACGAAACCAUCAGUAACUACUUUCAGUUCUACUAUUAGAAGUGUGGAAAGGAGUAAAAUACUAAAUUUACAAAAGUUUUCAAUUAAGUCAGAUUGGCCAAAAAAGACAGAAGAACACUAGGAGUACUAGAACUUUUGUACAAUACUCACUUUAGUACCAAAACUUUUUUUUUUUUCGCUCAAUUGAGUAUCACAUCAGAGUAAAAUUGAACACUUAAAUGCUAAUUCCAACAAAUCAUCCUACUUGGAUUUUUUUGAUUUUAUUUUGAUUUUGCUUUUUGUUUUUUUUUUUUGGCUUUUUUCCUUUAGGGUUGGUGAGGGUCACCGAUAACUCUCGUCAACUGCAAAACCCUCACCCUCAGUUGCAAAGGCCCUGGGCAAGGUCAUCGAGGCCUCACUCGUAGCCGGCAAGGUCGCGAUGCCCUCGCAAGCUUUGGGUGGCGUCACCUAUAGUCAGUGAGUUUGUGACACCCUUGCCUAGGGCCUUUGCGGUGAGGGUGAAGUGGCCCUCUCCAAGAUCUGGUCGUGAGGGCCCUAGGCGAGGACAUCGUGAUCUCACUGAUCCUAGGUAAGGUGAUGUUGCUUGCGACUGCCUAGAGCUAGCAAGGGCCCUUGUGGCCUCGCCAGUAGCCAGCGAGGCCUCAAUGGCCUCGCGCAAGGACUUCAUGGCUGAGGGUGAGGGGUUCAUUGUUGGUGAGGGUCAUAGGUGACCCUCAUUGGCCCUAAAAAAAGGAAGCAAAAAUUAAAAAUUAAAAAUUAAAAAUAUUGAAAAUAUAAAAAAAUUGUCCACAUCAUACCAGUGAAGCCAUGUUAGACAACUUUUAUCGUCACGUUGGAUGGCUGGUGUCCAUGAGGCAAAUUGGAAUUAGUACUCAAGUGAUCAAUUUUUUCAAAUUUGUGACAUUUAAGUAAGUGAAAUGUUUUUGAUACUUAAUUGAACACUAUACGAAAGUUUUGGCAGUUCUGAUAUCUUUAUUCAGGUCGAAAAAUAGGUACUUGCUACAGUAAUGUUUUUUUUUUUUUUUUUGUGCCAGAGGAACCGCUUUGGCCGACAGCCGCCACGUAAACCCCCAGAUGACGCUAGCCCAUGACCCACCACCAGGACGUCACACGUAAUACACCUAAUGGUCUGCCAGCCUCCCUGCAACUUGCGUUGCAGGGGUUUUGAACACCUGACCUUUCCCUUCAAAGGCAGGAGCCUACCUAGCAGAGCCACCACGGCCGGUGGUUUGCUACAGUAAUGUUCAUACGCAGUAUCCCAGAAAACAUCAAGGUCAACAUCCACUAGAACCGGUCUUGGACCUUCUUAUCUCCUAAAAUUCUGCUCUCACUUUCUUCAACAGAAAACUGAAUGUUGAAUCUCCAUCACAAAUUUUUCCCUCCGCAUGUCCUUUCUUAGGUGUGUGGGCCCCGGUGAAUCUCGACCACUUGGCGACAUUCGAGACUCUGGCCAUGGACCUGGAGCUCAGGAAGAUGCUCAUCGACAAUCUCGAGAGGUUUAUGACAAGGAAGGAGCACCACAAGAGAGUCGGCAAGGUGUGGAAAAGAGGGUCUUAUUGUGCGGACUUCGGCACAGGGAAAUCAAGCCUGGUCGCGAGGAUGGCCAAUCACUUGAAACUCGACAUAUACCAUUAGAGCUGAGCGGACUCCGGAGCAAUGCGGACCUCAGGAGGCUGCUCAUCAACACUGGAAUCAGUCCAUAGUGGUGGUGAAGGACAUCGGUUGCACCAUGAUGUUGCAAGAUAGGAUGUUAGAAACCCAAGCGACACGCAUGGAUAUUACGUCAACGCGUCUUUUUUGCAAGAAAAUCAAGUACGAUCUUCUUUUUAUUUAGCAUAAGCUUUAGUUCAAUUGUUUCGUAGUGUGCAUAUUAUCUGUCUUUGACAUUUAACUUAAGUUUGUCAUUACAACUUUAACUUUUUACAUGGAAGAGGUGACAUUGUCGAGAUUCCUCAACUUCAUCGAUGGCUUUGGUCAAAUUGCGGCAAUGAGCGGAUCAUAGUCUUCAUGAUGAACCACAUGGAGAAAUUGAACUCAACCCUGUUGCGCCCAGUUUGCAUGAACCUGCACAUUCCUAUGCCUUAUUGCACCUUGUGCGGGUUCAAGCUUCUUAUUUUUAAUUAUCUUGGGAUCGAUAGCUGUGAGCUCUUCGACCAUAUUGAGAGUUUGUUCGAGACAACUAGAAUUGCUCUUGCCGAAGUAGUGGAGCAGUUGUUGAAGAGCGACGAACAAGAGGUCACUCUCAGGGACAUGGUUUCCUUCCUAGUUAAUCACAAUAGGGAAAAUAAUUAAGAAGUCAUUUAGGAGAAAGUAUGUCAGUGCCAAUUGGUCGAAAAAAUGGAUGGAGUGAAAAGGAAAGCAGAGGUUACGAACUAACUGAAAAAUAGAUAAGAGAUAAGGAUUGUGCCGUCCAUCGAUUUUAAUUAGAUUAUUAUAGAUUUUUUUUUUUUUGUAUAAAGAAAGAUGAUAUGUGUGACAACAUUGGAAAUUACAAUUUAACUUGGUUUACUUGCCUUAAUAUCUUUCUUUGAUUGUUAUCAACCUUGGCCAAUUGGACCUAAGUAGGUCUUUAAAAGGCUCAUGGAGGAAACAAGCGGAAAAACCGCCCUGGGGUGAGAGACCUCGCGCUGUCCUCCUAUUUUCUCUCUAUCGGGAAGACACAAAUAGAUAGAGAAUUAUGGAGCCUCAUGCUGGUGAAAGUAGACACCAUGCCAGGAUUUCAGUUCUGGCUACUACCAGAUAGGCAGGUAAAGUAGCUUCUGAUGCCUGGAGUGAGGGAGGGUAGGUUAAAUGCCUACAGUUGGGUUGACAUGCCUUAGGGCACUGUCCUUAACCAUAGGUUGACCCAGUUAUCCCGGUUGAGGACAACGCUAUUCCCCCGGCCGUGAGAUUGCAACUUGUUUUGAAGAUCCAAUAGAUCUUAAACAUAGGCAAUACUUGAGAGAAUCGCUGAUUUUUAUGUAGUAAUUUUUCAAUUCUAACAUGAAGUAAAAUUUACGAUAAGAUGCGUGGACAUUUCACCGAAAAAAGUAAUUAUUAUUUUUUUUGGUGGAAAUGUAAUUAAUUUACUCAGUAUCAACCAUGGAAUGCUAAUGUAUUGAAAUGAAAGUUCUUAAUUCAUCUAGCCUAAUUUAUUGAAUCUCUCUGAUGCAAUAGCUUCAUAAGAAAUUGAAUCAAGAGGAUUCGAUUCCUUUAUACCAAUGUGUCAGGGAGAAAGUAUUCUACAUUGUUCGUCUUUCCUCAAAAAAAUUAAGAGGUAUUCUAGGAUGAGAGUGUGUUUUGUAUCCUCAGCGUACACUUUGUCGACUUUCCUGUCACUGUCACUGCGGUAUCUUGUUCCCCCUGCAUCUCCCACAGGACCUCUUUCGUUUUCUUCCUCUGUUAUGCAACAACCGUUUCCAGUCCCCUUGGAUCCUAGCAGAGCAGCAUCUGACGGAGACAGCACAGAACUCAUAUGCCUUAAUCUGUCAUUGUCAAGAAGAAUAUGUCUUCUUCUCGUCCCAGGAUUUCCUCUGCUAGAAUGAACUGCUUCCCAUGAUACGGUUUCGCCUUCGAAAAGGAUGAACCUUCCAUGCAGGUAAUCAUUUUCAGAUCCAUUCAGCCAGUCUACAGUAGCAUUCUCCUCCAGGAAGUUGGCAGCAGUUCCAGGAGUUAAUCUCUUCUCGUGGUUGGCCUCACCGCAAUCUCUUCUCGUGGUUGGCCUCACCGCCAGCACAGUCUCAAAUCCUUUCCCAGUUCUUCUUCGGAUGGAAUCUACUGCUGUUCAAUCAGUACCUAGAAAAUCCUUUUUCUGGCCUCCCCAGCUCAAGGGACAAGUCAACCAGCGAUGAUAGCGAGGGCCAUCGAGAGAACUUACCACAUGCAGCGAUGCUUGACAUCAUGUUCAAUCUUUUAAGCUCAGCUUCUGAAGUUAAGAUAUGCUCCUUUCCACUGCUUUCUAAGUUAUAAUCCGUAGCGCUCAAUCCACUCUGGCGAUCAAGGUAUAUUAUCGUUCAUUAGUACUGUUGUAGCAUGUAGAAACGUGCCUUAAAACUCUUGCCUUGAUUCUGAUGCCAUCGUUAAUCCACAGCACAGAAAUCAGCAAAAACAUACAUGGAAGAUUCAAGAUGCCCACUAAUUUAUAUCCGAUGAGGUGAUUUUGUAAAUAGUUUUCUACAAGAAAAGCCAAUGACAGAAUGAAUUUUGCAUCAAGAUUUCUCCGGCUUUUGCACAUGCCUUCUAUUCACAUGCAUUAUCCAUUAGUUCAUCCAGAGAUAAUUCUAGGCCUACCAUCUAUAUGUGGAUGAAUUCUCCUGGCGCAUGCCUAAUCUCACGUGCAAAUGUAUGUACAGCGCAUCCCCAUUAGAACGCCCAUCAUUAUCAAUAUUGGCAAAGAGGGACCUGUAGCACCUCUAGAUUGUCAAACAGAACGAAAAGUUCACUGCAACCGUAUGACAUAAUCAGAAAAAGAUGACUAUGGAAGGGGAAGGAUGAAGGCAAAGACACAGAUGACUAUCAGCUGCACUCGGAUGCGCUGAACCAAUCACUAUGGUCCAGAGGAGAAGGCAGAAGCAGUCCCAGAAGAGUGAGAGAAACCAUCAUUCAUCAGUGGAGAAUGUAAUCUCCGCUCCCUCUGCAAAUUCUUGAUUAACUGAAUCUAACAGAUUCACAGCCAUCUGUACCUGGAGACACCUCUUCCGGAGAGACUAUUUCACCUGGACAAUGAACCAGUCAUACCCUUAUCAACAGGCUGAAUCUUGACGUACAUAAUAGGUUGAGCCAUAUUCUUAAAGUUCCUAUUGCAAUUCUUUCAAUAACACAAGAAAAAAAAAUCACAGAUUUAAGGAAGAAGAUGAAAUUGGUUGUUGUACAGUAGAGAUAAUUAAGGAAUGUCGUGCAUUUUUUAGUGGAGAGUGGGGUAGGUAACUUCUUGCUUUCUACAAUUUUAUCUAUUUUCUUUAGCCAAAUUUCACUUCUUCUUUUUUUCCUCUCUUUAACACUUAAUUGCAUUAUAAUAUUAAAAGAACGUGAAGACGAGGGAAAACUGAGAAACUUACGGUAAGAUAAACUGAUGUUUUAGCCCGUAUUUAUUGAUAUUCAUACCCUUUUCUUCAUGGCACUAUCGUUACGGGGGAGAAUUAUGAAAAAAGUCAUAAAUCUAUUAUAAUCAUGCCAAUUCAGUCAUAAUUUUUUUGGGGUCAAUUUGGUCCUAAACCUUUUUACAAUUGUGCCAAUUAAGUUCAUUUGGCCAAAAUUGGCCGACCGACACUGACGUGGAUACCGGCCGAUGGACGCUGAUGUGGCAAUUUUUUGAUAUAUAUAUUUUUUUAAAUUUUGAAUUUUUUUUUGCUUUUUUUCCCCUUCAUCUCCUUCCUUUGGCCGGUCAACAUCGGCUAGAGGCGAGGGCUGGUGAGGUUUGGUGAGGUAGUUGACCUCGCUAGUGGCCGGCAAGGCGGCCGUCGCCAAAUUUAGCGAGGCUCGACCUUGCCAUGGUUGGGUGAGGCCGAGCCUUACCAGUCUUGCCCCUUCUUAUCUACUAUUAUUCUGCUCUCAAUUUCUUCAUCAGAAAACUGAAUUUUGUAUCUGCAUCACAUAUUUUUUUUCCUCUACAGGUCCUCUCUCAGAUGCGUGGGCCUCUGUGAACCUCGACCACCCGGCGACAUUCGGGACACUGGCCAUGGACCUAGAGC
This 14062-nucleotide long non-coding RNA is filed under the name Eucalyptus grandis. RNAcentral describes it as "long non-coding RNA (EGRA_LNC006063)". Lineage: Eukaryota; Viridiplantae; Streptophyta; Magnoliopsida; Myrtales; Myrtaceae. The record is from RNAcentral.